This 591-nucleotide ribosomal RNA is filed under the name uncultured Burkholderia sp. RNAcentral's name for it is "bacterial SSU rRNA". It matches the Rfam family "Bacterial small subunit ribosomal RNA", at positions 418 to 1003 of the family's 1533-position model. The record is from RNAcentral. Lineage: Bacteria; Pseudomonadati; Pseudomonadota; Betaproteobacteria; Burkholderiales; Burkholderiaceae.
UCGGGUUGUAAAGCACUUUUGUCCGGAAAGAAAACUUCGGCCCUAAUACGGUGGGAGGAUGACGGUACCGGAAGAAUAAGCACCGGCUAACUACGUGCCAGCAGCGCGGUAAUCGUAGGGUGCGAGCGUUAAUCGGAAUUACUGGGCGUAAAGCGUGCGCAGGCGGUUCGUUAAGACAGAUGUGAAAUCCCCGGGCUUAACCUGGGAACUGCAUUUGUGACUGGCGAGCUAGAGUAUGGCAGAGGGGGGUAGAAUUCCACGUGUAGCAGUGAAAUGCGUAGAGAUGUGGAGGAAUACCGAUGGCGAAGGCAGCCCCCUGGGCCAAUACUGACGCUCAUGCACGAAAGCGUGGGGAGCAAACAGGAUUAGAUACCCUGGUAGUCCACGCCCUAAACGAUGUCAACUAGUUGUUGGGUCUUCAUUGACUUAGUAACGUAGCUAACGCGUGAAGUUGACCGCCUGGGGAGUACGGUCGCAAGAUUAAAACUCAAAGGAAUUGACGGGGACCCGCACAAGCGGUGGAUGAAGGUGGAUUAAUUCGAUGCAACGCGAAAAACCUUACCUACCCUUGACAUGGUCGGAACCCUGCUG